GAUGAAGAACGUAGCGAAAUGCGAUACGUAGUGUGAAUUGCAGAAUUCAGUGAAUCAUCGAAUCUUUGAACGCACAUUGCGCCCCUUGGUAUUCCGAGGGGCAUGCCUGCUCGAGCGUCAUUAUAACCCCUCAAGCUCAGCUUGGUGUUGGGGCCUGCUGCACUGGCAGCCCUUAAAAUCAGUGGCGGCGCCAUCUGGCUCUAAGCGUAGUAAUUCUUCUCGCUAUGGAGUCCUGGUGGAUGCUUGCCAUCAACCCCCAAUUUUUCUAUGGUUGACCUCGGAUCAGGUAGGGAUACCCGCUGAACUUAAGCAUAUCAAUAAGCGGAGGA
RNAcentral lists this unclassified non-coding RNA (329 nucleotides) under soil metagenome. RNAcentral describes it as "partial contains 5.8S ribosomal RNA, internal transcribed spacer 2, and large subunit ribosomal RNA". The stretch from base 1 to 120 matches the Rfam family "5.8S ribosomal RNA", at positions 35 to 154 of the family's 154-position model. The record is from RNAcentral.